UACGUAGGGCGCAAGCGUUGUCCGGAAUUAUUGGGCGUAAAGAGCUCGUAGGCGGUCUGUCGCGUCUGGUGUGAAAACCCGAGGCUCAACCUCGGGCUGGCAUCGGGUACGGGCAGGCUGGAGUGCGGUAGGGGAGACUGGAAUUCCUGGUGUAGCGGUGGAAUGCGCAGAUAUCAGGAGGAACACCGAUGGCGAAGGCAGGUCUCUGGGCCGUUACUGACGCUGAGGAGCGAAAGCAUGGGGAGCGAACAGG
This 253-nucleotide unclassified non-coding RNA is filed under the name uncultured Promicromonosporaceae bacterium. RNAcentral describes it as "contains 16S-23S intergenic spacer region". It matches the Rfam family "Bacterial small subunit ribosomal RNA", at positions 524 to 776 of the family's 1533-position model. The record is from RNAcentral. Lineage: Bacteria; Bacillati; Actinomycetota; Actinomycetes; Micrococcales; Promicromonosporaceae.